GAUGAACGCUGGCGGCGUGCCUAAUACAUGCAAGUCGAGCGAACAGACGAGGAGCUUGCUCCUCUGACGUUAGCGGCGGACGGGUGAGUAACACGUGGAUAACCUACCUAUAAGACUGGGAUAACUUCGGGAAACCGGAGCUAAUACCGGAUAAUAUAUUGAACCGCAUGGUUCAAUAGUGAAAGACGGUUUUGCUGACACUUAUAGAUGGAUCCGCGCCGCAUUAGCUAGUUGGUAAGGUAACGGCUUACCAAGGCAACGAUGCGUAGCCGACCUGAGAGGGUGAUCGCCCACACUGGAACUGAGACACGGUCCAGACUCCUACGGGAGGCAGCAGUAGGGAAUCUUCCGCAAUGGGCGAAAGCUUGACGGAGCAACGCCGCGUGAGUGAUGAAGGUCUUCGGAUCGUAAAACUCUGUUAUUAGGGAAGAACAAAUGUGUAAGUAACUAUGCACGUCUUGACGGUACCUAAUCAGAAAGCCACGGCUAACUACGUG
RNAcentral lists this ribosomal RNA (497 nucleotides) under uncultured bacterium. RNAcentral describes it as "partial 16S ribosomal RNA". It matches the Rfam family "Bacterial small subunit ribosomal RNA", at positions 28 to 507 of the family's 1533-position model. The record is from RNAcentral.